Chiroxiphia lanceolata (lance-tailed manakin) is the source of this 275-nucleotide long non-coding RNA. RefSeq lists it as uncharacterized. The record is from RefSeq and is a predicted model, not a curated record. NCBI's taxonomy places the organism in Eukaryota, Metazoa, Chordata, Aves, Passeriformes, Pipridae. The transcript has 3 exons.
GGUGUUGGGUGGAGCCUGAGGGUGGCCAUGGCAACAGAGGCGGGGUCGCUCUGGUUCGAGCAGGAGGUUUUGGGGGCUCCAGGCCCCACCCCCGGGGACCCGCUGGCCCCGCCCCCCAUCCUGUGGCCAAUCAUCACCACCAACACCUACCAGCAGGUCAGCAGCGACAUCCUUGGAGGAGCCUCAGGAUUGCUCCCUGCAGCGAUCCCUGCUCCAGCCUUGCAAUAUAGAGCAAAAAAAAACAGGGAAUGCUCCGUGCCUGCAGCUCUCCCGCU